Molecule: long non-coding RNA, 199 nt
Filed under: Carica papaya (papaya)
Lineage: Eukaryota; Viridiplantae; Streptophyta; Magnoliopsida; Brassicales; Caricaceae
Description: long non-coding RNA (CPAP_LNC003070)
Source: RNAcentral
AUUUAGAAAAGUUACGCCGCGUCAGGUACCCGAUCAGCAGUCCCGACCAAUCAGAAUGCGCCAGGUGGCAGAGGCGUUGACGUGGACGAUUUGUAACGACCCCGGAAAUUUUAAUAAGAAAAGCAUAUAGAUAAUUAAUCUGAAUUGCGGAAGCGUAAUAAAUAUUGCAAUUAACAUCCCUUACACAAUGCCAAAAAUG